UUGGUCUUUUGUUUUACUUAUCUUCACUUUUUGAUGUAGUAUUUCAACAUUUAAAAGAAAAGGAAAGUGAUUCAGAAAAAAAGGUAUGAUGCAAAUGUUGAUCCAACCAUUAAUGGAUGUUGCAAGAACAUGCUUUAACAAGAGAAAAGGUCUGAAGCACAUAUAAGGGAUGGGAUUGAAGCCUGUAAAUCCACGAGUCAUAUAUGAGGAACCCAACCCGGGGACUAGAGAUCCUAUAAUCAGAUUCAAUGGAAAAAAUGAAUCAUGUGAUGACUUAUUGUGAAAUGCAUUAUUUUAUUUCCCUUUCUAUGAUGUGAGUGCAUUGUUUCCUGUAGUGAAUUGUGGAGGUUGAGUUUAUAAAAACUCUUAAUGAAAAUUUGUAUCCCGUAUGGGUAGAGUGUUAAACUUACAAGAGAACUCUUAAAAAAUGUCACUUAUGUAAGUGUGGAAGUA
Solanum tuberosum (potato) is the source of this 453-nucleotide long non-coding RNA. RefSeq lists it as uncharacterized. The transcript has 2 exons. The record is from RefSeq and is a predicted model, not a curated record. Lineage: Eukaryota; Viridiplantae; Streptophyta; Magnoliopsida; Solanales; Solanaceae.